UAGGUCAAAGGUUCAUCAUUCUCAAUGAUGUGGGUUUCAUUAUUCUCAAUAAUGAACCCAUACCUUAGAGGUGCAUUCUGCACUCUAUCCAACCUUCGGAGAGGAGGUGUAUCUUGUGGUUAUACCUCAUUAAUGGAUAUUUCUGAUUGAGGAUUAUCUUGUGCUUCUAUUUGUAGGUCUUGAACUUCUCCAAGUUCAAUUUUCUUACCAC
RNAcentral lists this long non-coding RNA (211 nucleotides) under Elaeis guineensis (African oil palm). RNAcentral's name for it is "long non-coding RNA (EGUI_LNC036872)". The record is from RNAcentral. Lineage: Eukaryota; Viridiplantae; Streptophyta; Magnoliopsida; Arecales; Arecaceae.